AGGAGCUAGACUGUGGUCACCGAGGGGCCACUGUUAAUGCCAUUGUGCUAUGCUUCUCUGCUCCCAGAGGGACCGUCUGGAAUCGGAAUGCUCCCUGCUCUGACUUAAUGCUCUGCAGCUGGACUCCUUCAAAGCUGUAACUUUGCUCAUAACGAUGCUGCUGGAGCUGGCUGCGAGAUGUGCCCUGUGUUUACUGGAAGAAACACAGAAAGUACUUUCCUGGGCCAAAUCAUUACUUCUUAGGCGGCCUCCAGCAGAGUAGUCUAUGAAGGCCUCAGAAAUCUGAUUACUUUUUUUUUAAUUAAUUCAUGUCGAUAUCGUUUUAUUCAUUUAUUUCCUAUUACUUCUUUUUAUAACUAACAGCUCAGGUAGGGAGAUGAGUGAAUUUCAAAUUCUAUUGCCCCUUUGUCUUGUUUUGUAAAACAUGCAGUUUCCUCUCUGUAUUUAAGGAAGGGGAGCUAUGUAUGCUUUCAAAGCUGGUCCUUAACGUUCCCUGCUGCACAACACCGAAGGUUAGUGGAUUCCCACCCGCCAAGUGCCCUCUUACUGCCUUCAUUGCCAACAUGUGGCACGGAUGGUUACUGCAGCUGGACAACUGCACCACCCCGAGGAGCGGAGACUCGCCAUAGCGACUCUUUGGGAAGGACGCUUAUUUUGGGGGAGACUCAUGUUAUCUCAUCUUCAAGCACCGAGCAUACAACGGACCGUUUCGCUGAGCGUUUCACCGACAGGAACCACGCGCAGUUUCGACUGUGUAUUUAUUCUACCAGAUCCACAAAGCCUGUUCGUGCUCUCAGCCUCAGAGGAAACAGCUUCUUUUAUUUUUAAUAAAUCUUUUGUGCGUAACUACACCAUUUGGUUCCAGUUCGAAAUCAUCCAGAUAUACUUUACUUCAGACUUUAAUUUAAGCAGCAGACAGCCACAUGGCCACCAGACACGACAGCAGGAAGGGAGAGCACGAGGACACAGAACAGGAAGUGGCACGGCCCAACCUGGAGGCCUCCUGCUAUGGCCUCAGGAUUUCAGAAUUUGAAACUGCUUGGAACGCUGAUCAGGCAGAGGAAGGCAGGAUUGAGGAAAUAAAUACAUGCUGAAGCAGGUUCGCACAGGUAUCGCCCAUCCUUCCAAAACGCUCUUUGGCUGCGAACGGAGACCGGGCUGCAUACACCCCGUGAGCCUGAUGAGCAGUGCUUCUGGGGCCUGCUGCCGCCCCUGCCCAUCACUUCCUGUCUCGUCACGACUACGUACGGCUUCUGAAGUCACCCCCACGGCACAUCAAGGAGAGUGCCUGUUCGGAGGGAGACCACCCAGGGGAGGCCACGGCAUUCUAACACCCCCACCUCGUACUCUCGCGGGACUCUAGGAAGCAAGUAUCGGCAACUAAGGAGGAUUCAGGACUCCCCUGCAAGGCUGUGGCCUUUAACAGCAAAUGUCUGAAUGACCAUCUCUGGUAUGGAGUCCACUCUGCAGACUUGCUAGGAUGUCUACAGACAGCACUUGCUUUCAGCUUUAGACAUGGAUUCUUUCAAGCAGGGGAGGCGGUGGGUUGCAGGGUAAAGGGGCAGCUGAGAGCUCCAGGGGGUGAGCUUCUUCCUGCCUCUUCCUCUGCUAAGGAAGGGCUGGGUGCUUAAUCUUGGCUGUACCUUACAACCCUUGAGGAGCUCUUAAGACCUACUGACAUACAAGCCCCACCCCACGUGAACUGAGAACACAUCUUUGGGGCUGGGCCUGGCACGUACAUUUUUGUAAAGGUCCUUGGGCGAUUCUGAUCUGGGACAUGUUGAAAACCAGUGGGUUAGGCGCUGACUCACCUACUCCCACAUCUGUGAUUAUCUCACUGCUAUGUAUGUUAUCUAUCAUAUGGAUUUUGUGCUUUGGCGUUAUUGUUUCUUUUAGUACAUCAAAUAAAAUACUCUUUUCCA
Felis catus (domestic cat) is the source of this 1922-nucleotide long non-coding RNA. RefSeq lists it as uncharacterized. The record is from RefSeq and is a predicted model, not a curated record. The transcript is spliced from 3 exons. Lineage: Eukaryota; Metazoa; Chordata; Mammalia; Carnivora; Felidae.